This 466-nucleotide ribosomal RNA is filed under the name uncultured bacterium. RNAcentral's name for it is "partial 16S ribosomal RNA". It matches the Rfam family "Bacterial small subunit ribosomal RNA", at positions 28 to 507 of the family's 1533-position model. The record is from RNAcentral.
GACGAACGCUGGCGGCGUGCUUAACACAUGCAAGUCGUGCGGUAAGGCCCUUUCGGGGGUACACGAGCGGCGAACGGGUGAGUAACACGUGAGCAGCCUGCCCUUCACUUUGGGAUAACUGCCGGAAACGGUGGCUAAUACCGGAUAUGACUUCCUCACGCAGGUGGGGUGGUGGAAAGCCUUCGGGUGGUGGGGGAUGGGCUCGCGGUCUAUCAGCUUGUUGGUGGGGUGAUGGCCUACCAAGGCGUCGACGGGUAGCCGGCCUGAGAGGGUGACCGGCCACACUGGGACUGAGACACGGCCCAGACUCCUACGGGAGGCAGCAGUGGGGAAUAUUGGACAAUGGGCGAAAGCCUGAUGCAGCAACGCCGCGUGAGGGAUGACGGCCUUCGGGUUGUAAACCUCUUUCGCCUGCGACGAAGCGAGAGUGACGGUAGCAGGUAAAGAAGCACCGGCCAACUACGUG